UAGACCACGUGCCGGAGACUCGAACGAUGGCAGAAAAGCUCGAGCUUUUGUUGGCGACAGAACGAAAUAUGUUUGCAACUUCUGGAAUUCGAUAUUCGAUGAUUUAAUGAUCUGAAUUCAACGUUCAUAUGUUGCGUCCUUGAAUGACCUUCACUUAUAGGUCGUUGCAUUCGUCUCGAAAGACUUUAUCGGAAUGCGAAUAAAAAGUUAGGUCAUCCUAUUUAAAAAAACAAGCUUGACCUUCGUAUGUCCUCUAUGCCUUCGCCUAUAAAAAGAA
Megalopta genalis is the source of this 277-nucleotide long non-coding RNA. RefSeq lists it as uncharacterized. Lineage: Eukaryota; Metazoa; Arthropoda; Insecta; Hymenoptera; Halictidae. The record is from RefSeq and is a predicted model, not a curated record.